Molecule: ribosomal RNA, 461 nt
Filed under: uncultured Phormidium sp.
Lineage: Bacteria; Bacillati; Cyanobacteriota; Cyanophyceae; Oscillatoriales; Oscillatoriaceae
Description: SSU rRNA
Rfam family: Bacterial small subunit ribosomal RNA
Source: RNAcentral
AUUAUUGGGCGUAAGAGUUCGUAGGUGGUUUGUUAAGUUUGGUGUUAAAGAUCGGGGCUCAACCCUGGGACUGCACUGAAUACUGGCAGACUCGAGUGUGGUAGAGGCUAGUGGAAUUCCCAGUGUAGCGGUGAAAUGCGUAGAUAUUGGGAAGAACACCGGUGGCGUAGGCGACUAGCUGGGCCAUAACUGACGCUGAGGAACGAAAGCCAGGGGAGCGAAUGGGAUUAGAUACCCCAGUAGUCCUGGCCGUAAACGAUGGAUACUAGGCGUAUCGGGUAUCGACCCCUGAUGUGCCGCAGCUAACGCGAUAAGUAUCCCGCCUGAGUAGUACGGCCGCAAGGUUGAAACUCAAAGGAAUUGACGGGGGCCCGCACAAGCGGUGGAACAUGUGGUUUAAUUCGAAGCAACGCGAAGAACCUUACCAGGGCUUGACAUGGUAGGAAGCUUUCGGAAACGAG